This 84-nucleotide transfer RNA is filed under the name Gemmatimonadota bacterium. Its description in RNAcentral is "tRNA-Asp". It matches the Rfam family "tRNA". From Rfam's summary of the family: Transfer RNA (tRNA) molecules are approximately 80 nucleotides in length. Their secondary structure includes four short double-helical elements and three loops (D, anti-codon, and T loops). Lineage: Bacteria; Pseudomonadati; Gemmatimonadota. The record is from RNAcentral.
GCCGGCGUGGCGGAAUUGGCAUACGCAGCACCCUGUCACGGUGUGGAGCGAAAGCUCGUGGGGGUUCGAAUCCCCUCGCCGGCA